UAUGAAAAUCUAAGAAAACUCUAUGUAGAUCAUCUCAUCAUGUGUGAGUGGGAGAUGUUAGAAUAUAGGGCAUUCAUGAUAGGCUGACUCAUAUCAUGACCCGACCCAAGUUAAAUAUUUGAUUUAACUAUUUCAAAUUUGAAUCCAGAAGGAGGUGCCCACUUGGUGGUUAUGCGCCACUUGUUGGUUACGAUGUUUUGUGGGUGGCCCUUGGUUGUUAUGCUGAGA
This 228-nucleotide long non-coding RNA is filed under the name Elaeis guineensis (African oil palm). RNAcentral describes it as "long non-coding RNA (EGUI_LNC017479)". Lineage: Eukaryota; Viridiplantae; Streptophyta; Magnoliopsida; Arecales; Arecaceae. The record is from RNAcentral.